Molecule: long non-coding RNA, 4625 nt
Organism: Balaenoptera musculus (blue whale)
Lineage: Eukaryota; Metazoa; Chordata; Mammalia; Artiodactyla; Balaenopteridae
Exons: 4
Source: RefSeq, a predicted model, not a curated record
AUGUGGGAUCUUAGCUCCCCGACCAGGGAUCAAACCCGAACUCCCUGCAUUGGAAGGUGUAGUCUUAACCACUGGACCGCCAGGGAAGCCCUGAACUGACAUCCUGUAUAAGAAUUCGUCUAUUGUCUUUCUGGAAAUGCUCUAGAACACACUCCAAGCUACUUGAGGGCAGGGACUUUGUUUUACUCGUGACUAUAUGCCCAGUUCCUAAAACAGGGAUUGGCACAGAUUGAACACUCAAUAAGUAUGUGUUAAUUGAGUGGAAUAAAUGAAUGAAUAAAUAUAACAUAUACUGAGUAUUUAUCGGAAACACUGAAGUUCUAAGCACUUGCAGUGACUAAUAUAAUCUUCACGACAACUCCGUGGAGGGGCACUAUUAUUAUCCCAAUGUUUAAUUAUCUUGCCAAGGUCUUGCAGCUUAGAAGAGCUGUAUUCAGGAUCAGAACCAGGCAACGGGAUUCAUACCAUUGCCUGGUAUGGAUAGAGCUGGUCCUCCAUCCGAGCGAGUUAGCCCUACCCUUCCUCCUUUCCCCUUUCUGCUGUCUCGUAGAAUACAUGUCCAGUAAUCACAUCAUUGCAUGCUCCAGAUAUUUUGUUUUAUCGCUUCAGACCAAAAGGCGAGAGCUCAGCUGAGUUCCAACUCCUGCCCUUUCUUCCCACUUUCUCAAUAUUAUUACCUUAGAACCUGAUCAACUCACACAACUUUUUUUUUUUUCUCUAACACUGCCAUUGACAGAUGCAGAUGCAGAGGCUAUUAUGGUUUAUGGUGCUCUUUUGCAUGCAUUAUCUCAUUUGAUUAGCCCAGUAGCCUUGGGAUAUGGGCCAUACAAGGAUGGCCACCUGCAGUUUAUAGAUGAGGAAACAGAGGCUCAGAGAGGUUACAUAAAGCUAUUUGGAAGCAGAACUUUUAGUUCUAAGUCCCACGUUUGCUCUAUUUUGCUCUUUCUUUUUCCUUGUUGGGGCCCGGAGGGUAGAAGUUAAUCCCGAAGCAUUUCUGCCCUCCACAUUUAUUGAAAGUCACUCGGAACAUUGAUGAGGGUCAAAGGACUUGAGCCAUUUUCCACCGGUCACACAUUUAGAAAGAAGAGGGAACAGAUGAAAUGGAUUCUUGUAAAGUGGAAUUACUCUUCUCAUCAAACAUUCUGUACUACUCUAUGAUCCAAAGAAAUGCCCAGAUUCUUCUAGAAUGGGCCCACUAGGGAUGCCUGGAUUGAAUUAAAGCAGCUGAUUCUCAAGCCAAGUGGCCGGAAUUUGGACAACUCUACUGGCUCAACCUCUGUGCUGUAUGGAAGAAACCAAGAUGAUGACACUUUCCCAAGGCUGGGGCUGGCCUGGUGCAGACACAGAUGAGCCAUUCACCUGGGGAGCCCCAUGUUGAAGAUGAUGGAGCCAUGAGAUGGAGGAGCCUCUUUCCUGGAAUCAGGAAGAGGACCACGGCUGAUCAAUGCCCCCCAUUUUGGCUUUUACAUUUGUGAAGAUUUCUACUGUUUGGGACAAUACACAUUUUUGAAAUUUGUUUAUAAUAGCGGAUAAUGAUACUUUAAUUAAUGUUAUCACUUAUUAAUAAAAGGAAGAUGGAAACCUAAAUUUCAAUUAACUCAUGUUUAUGAUGAGUUGAUGUCCAGGGGAUUAAAAUUUUCUUCCAAUCACUGCCUAGAGUUGUCUCUCAGAUUGUAGAGUCAGUCAGUGCCCAUGCAGGGGAAGAGAUGGAGGUUCAGUAAGGUGGGAUCAAGGGCUUCCAAAGUUCUUAUGGACUUUCCUAAGCCAUUCCCCAGCCAGAGAACUAAUGCCUGGAAUGGAAAGGAAUGAAUAUCACCUCUGUUUUUGACCUUUAUCUCUGUCAAAAUGUAAAUCCUCCAUAUCGCGUUAAGCUCUUAUUUAUUAUUUAAACUGUUGUGUACAAGAAGGGUCUAAAGAACAGACAAAACUAAUACUGGCCUCUAGAUAACAUCCAUGAAGUGCAUUGAGAUCCUGGAUAAAAUUCAGUGUCUUGUUUCUGAAUUAAAAAUAAAAAAGUAUUCUGAAAAAAAGGACUGCCUUUAAGUAGAGAAUUGUAAGGUAGGAGGCACAAUUCUUCUCCUUCCCAUUGACUGCACACUGUGUUCUCUAGGUGCAUCAGCAGUGUUAAAGGGAUAAAUCAUCCCUUUGGCAUUUGGGAGUACAGUUUUGGGGAUUUGAGUCAAUAAUGUAGUCAGCUACCAAUUUCUGUCUUUUAGUGUAGGGGUUUGGUUGGGGUAGGUAGAAGGCAAGGAUCCAGGGAUUUAGGAAAGAGAAAUAGACCUUGCCUUAUUUCUUUGAACACAAGAACUCAGGAGAGCAAUGAAUGACAUCCUAAAUGCACAAUGGAGAUUCUUCUGCAACAGAUUGUUGCUAAGUAGCUCUCUGGGUUUUUUUGUUGUUGUUGUUUUUUUUGUUUUGUUCUGUUGUGUCUGGGCUGAUGAGGUGCUUUCUGCCCUGGGUGAGUUACUUCUUUCAUCUUUGUGGAUUGAUUCUCUUGUAGCUCCUAAAACAUUCAUGCCUUUCAUAAAUAUUUUUUGACUGGAGGUUGUAUGUAUUUAACUGGGGCUCAUAUAUAUGCCUUUAAGUUUCUUUUUCUUCAGUGUUCUGAUUCUUCUUGAUAUUUUUGAUUUCCCAUCACCCUUCUGAGCCGCUAAGUUAAAGUAAGUUUGCAUAUAUACUCAUAUAUUUCAUAGAUGUACUUCUUUAUCAGAAGGAGCCCUGAGCUGGAGUUAGGAGGCCUUGAUUCAACUCAUUGCCACUAACUACACUUGUGACGGGUCAGGGUAAUUCCCCAUCUACAUGAUGAGAGUUGCAAAAGUGUGGGAGACUGUGUUCUCCAUGAAAUGCCUGCACAGUGCCCAAGAAAUGGGGGUCCAUUUUCUAUAGCAUGUCUUCCAGGUACAACAUGCUAUGAUCAAGGGAUGUAACCUGUCCCUUAUUGCACCUCAUUCCUGAAUCCUUUUUCUCCAUUCUCUUCUCCAUUUUUUUCUCCUUCCUCUUUCUCUUGCUGUCUUGGAGAGAUCACUCAGUGGUGGAGCCAGGAUGAUCGAUAUGCCAGGGCAGCUGAGCAGUCAGCUCAUUAGGAAUUGCCCAGAUUGUGGACCAUUCAUUACAUCACUAGACAUCUAUUGAGUAUCUAAAAUUUGCCAGGUACUACGCUAAGUAGGUGCUUUUUAAACCUAAUUUUUGCCGUGCUAUUUUCCUUAUCAUACAAAAAGCACAGGUAUAUCGAGUCUUUUGUGAAAAUACCAAAAAAGAGAUAAUAAGAAGAAAUCAUUUAUAGUCCCACUUUCUAGAGUUUACCACUAUUAAUCGUUGAAUGUAUAUUUUUUCUACGGUUUUUACUAUGUAAGAAUACAGUUUUAAAAAGGGAGAGAAUAUGAAAUUACAUUGUACAUCUUGUUUUAUAACCUGAUUUUUCACAUUAAUAAUCCAUUGACUUCAUUUCACUUCCUCUUUACUUCUAGCUGUUGGAUUGGAAGAGGUGAUCUUUCCUGUGUGUGAUGUAAAUUCGUUGCAGGAUGUACAUAGCAGAAAAACACUACCACUACAAGAGUCCACUCCAAUGGACUGUAAACUCCAAUUUGGCAAAAAGGAGAUGAAGGCAUAGAUGAUGUCCGAAAAGGCCCUUACUAUAAAUGAUUUCCUGGAAACACCGUGGUCAACUCAAAAUCUUUUUGUGAGUGAGAAGAAAAUUACAAGACUGAGCAGAUUCAAGAGUGAAACUCAUCUGUGUCAAUGUGUGUUGGCCCAAGUAGGACACACAUGCAAACAUACUGCCCUUUUACUAACAGAUCAUUGUUUCAGAUGCAAAAUAAACAGCUGAAGGGUCUCUCAAAUGUUUUUCCUAAAUAAGAUAGGAAAUAGCCUGCUCAUACAAAAUACUCUAAUCCAGUCCUGAUCUAGCACACAUUAUUAUUAUUAUUUACAAUUAAUGUGCCAUGUACUGUGAAUUAUUUAACCAUGAUUUUAUUUUAAAAGUUCUGUACAGCAGAAAGUCAAGUUCAUAAAGAUGAAAGGAUUUACCCCAAAUCAAAUAGCUAGUAAAUAACCGGUCCAGGAGGCAAACUAAAGCUGCCUGACUUUAAAUCUGGAGUUCUAAGACUACCACAUGCUGCUGCCUCUCCCGUGUGAAAAGGACACAAACUAUAUUGAAUGAAUAAAUGAAUCAACUUAGAGUAUGGAUCUUAAUAAAUGUUAAUUGACUGGGAACCACAAUUCUCUCAGCAAAUUUGAUUCUCCACACCAAAUGAGAUCGUAAAUUACAUGUAAUGAACUUACUGGCCAAACUACAUUUCCAAGCGUUUGAGACCAGCUGAGGUCUCGGGACAGCCAUGAGAGUGAGGGGCAGACCAUUGGAGGCAAUGCUCUCUCAGCAUUGCCUCUGAGUUUUCAUCACGGCGUCAAGCCGGGGAGCCCUCCUUCCCAAUCAUUGCUGUCCAGCACUCAGCUGAAGCCAAGACACCAGGAUUUGGUACAGCACCGCUGCUUGGGGCGUCUUGACUCUGUAUCUCUGGACCCAUUUACUUAACUUAAAAAUGCGAAGAUUGGUUCAAAGAUGGCAGAAUAGGGGUUUUCUGAGAUUCUUUGCCUUUUCCUGACUCCCAAUGUAAACAACAAAGAAA